AUCGAUGAAGAACGCAGCGAAAUGCGAUAAGUAAUGUGAAUUGCAGAAUUCAGUGAAUCAUCGAAUCUUUGAACGCACAUUGCGCCCCCUGGUAUUCCGGGGGGCACACCUGUUCGAGCGCCAUUUCUACCCUAGAGCCCUGCUCUGUGAUGGGCCCCGUCCUCGCGGACGGGCCCGAAACCCGUGGGCGCCGUCGUCCGGCCCUGAGCGUAGCAAGAGAAAUCCCUCGCUCGGAGUGUCUGUCGGUGGCCGCCCCGAACCAUUUUUACAAGGUUGGCCUCGGAUCAGGUGGGGAUACCCGCUGAACUUAAGCAUAUCAAUAAGCGGAGGAAAAGAAACCAACAGGGAUUGCCUCAGUAACGGCGAGUGAAGCGGCAACAGCUCAAAUUUGAAAUCUGGCUCACGCCCGAGUUGUAAUUUGUAGAGGAUGUUUCGGGUGAAGCCGCGGUCCAAGUCCCUUGGAACAGGACGUCAUAGAGGGUGAGAACCCCGUACCUGGCCGCCGGUGCCCCCCGCUGUGAAACUCCUUCGACGAGUCGAGUUGUUUGGGAAUGCAGCUCUAAAUUGGUGGUAAAUUCCAUCUAAAGCUAAAUACCGGCCAGAGACCGAUAGCGCACAAGUAGAGUGAUCGAAAGAUGAAAAGCACUUUGAAAAGAGAGUUAAAAAGUACGUGAAAUUGUUGAAAGGGAAGCGCUUGCGGCCAGACUUGCCCGCGGUUGCUCAGCCCGCCUUUUGGCGGGUGCACUCUUCCGCGGUCAGGCCAGCAUCGGUUUGGGCGGUCGGAUAAAGGCGUUGGGAACGUGGCCUCCCCUCGGGGAGGUGUUAUAGCCCGGCGCGCAAUGCGACCAGUCCGGACCGAGGUUCGCGCUUUGCUAGGAUGCUGGCGUAAUGGCCGUAAGCGGCCCGUCUUGAAACACGG
Molecule: ribosomal RNA, 919 nt
Filed under: uncultured fungus
Lineage: Eukaryota; Fungi
Description: eukaryotic LSU rRNA
Rfam family: Eukaryotic large subunit ribosomal RNA (bases 275-919)
Source: RNAcentral